GACGAACGCUGGCGGCGUGCUUAACACAUGCAAGUCGAACGGAAGGGCCCUGCUUUUGUGGGGUGCUCGAGUGGCGAACGGGUGAGUAACACGUGAGUAACCUGCCCUUGACUUUGGGAUAACUUCAGGAAACUGGGGCUAAUACCGGAUAGGAGCUCCUGCUGCAUGGGGGGGGUUGGAAAGUUUCGGCGGUUGGGGAUGGACUCGCGGCUUAUCAGCUUGUUGGUGGGGUAGUGGCUUACCAAGGCUUUGACGGGUAGCCGGCCUGGGAGGGUGACCGGCCACAUUGGGACUGAGAUACGGCCCAGACUCCUACGGGAGGCAGCAGUGGGGAAUAUUGCACAAUGGGCGGACGCCUGAUGCAGCAACGCCGCGUGCGGGAUGACGGCCUUCGGGUUGUAAACCGCUUUCGCCUGUGACGAAGCGUGAGUGACGGUAAUGGGUAAAGAAGCACCGGCUAACUACGU
This 467-nucleotide ribosomal RNA is filed under the name uncultured bacterium. RNAcentral's name for it is "partial 16S ribosomal RNA". It matches the Rfam family "Bacterial small subunit ribosomal RNA", at positions 28 to 506 of the family's 1533-position model. The record is from RNAcentral.